UUAGUCCUAAACAUAAAAAAUUAUAAACAAAAUUAUUCGCCAGAGUACUACUGGCAACAGCUUAAAACUCAAAGGACUUGGCGGUGCCUUACAUCCCUCUAGAGGAGCCUGUUCUAUAAUCGAUAAACCCCGAUCUACCUCACCAGUCUUUGCUAAAUCAGCCUAUAUACCGCCAUCUUCAGCAAACCCUAAAAAGGAACUAAAGUAAGCAUAAAUAUUAACAUAAAAACGUUAGGUCAAGGUGUAGCCUAUAGACUGGGAAGAAAUGGGCUACAUUCCCCGAAUCGGAGAAAAUUAAAGUCCUACGAAAGCCUAUGUGAAACCAAAAGUCAAAGGUGGAUUUAGCAGUAAAUUAAGAAUAGAGAGCUUAAUUGAAUGUUGGCCAUAAGGCACGCACAACACCGCCCCGUCCCCCUCUGCAGUCAA
Molecule: ribosomal RNA, 426 nt
Filed under: Myotis ridleyi (Ridley's bat)
Lineage: Eukaryota; Metazoa; Chordata; Mammalia; Chiroptera; Vespertilionidae
Description: partial 12S ribosomal RNA
Rfam family: Bacterial small subunit ribosomal RNA
Source: RNAcentral